Long non-coding RNA from Cyprinus carpio (common carp), 1093 nucleotides. RefSeq lists it as uncharacterized. The transcript has 2 exons. Lineage: Eukaryota; Metazoa; Chordata; Actinopteri; Cypriniformes; Cyprinidae. The record is from RefSeq and is a predicted model, not a curated record.
AUGAGACGCUCCGGACAUCUCUAACCGCUGUUGUGGUAUCACACAAAGAUUUAGAGACACAGCCUUUUACAACCACUGACUGGCCUCCGGAACUCUCUGAUGAAAAGACAGAAAACACAGGUUGAGUCUAAGUUUUACUGCAGAUUCUCACCUGUUGUUGUAAGGCAGCGGUCUUCACUCCCUGAACAGCUCACGGUGUUUGAGCAGCUCUGUCCAUCACAAUAGUAACAUUUCUUUCCAUUGGGGGUAUUAGUGCUGGGAUCUACAGGAGGAAAACAAGUAUUCUUUUAUUUUAUUGUCCGUACAAAAUAUAAUAUCUAAAGAAACAACACUCUGUUAGCUGCUCCAUUCAAUCAGUUCACAACUGACAAGCUGCACCUUGCAUUUUAUUUCCUGAUUUAAUGUACUGUAAAAAAUCUUACUGAAAUUUAUACUUUUUUAAAGUUGAAUCAACAAAUUAUUACUUAUUAUAAUGUUGAAUGUUAUUUUGCAAUUAUUUUUUUACAGUGUGUCCUCUGGAAGUAGAACGAGUGUUAACUUUAAAGAUAAUCAUUUUCAUAUGGUCAGUAAAUCACUCAAUACCUGGAGCAUCUUGGACGUUACACUGGUCUGUGUUACAGCAGACUGCAGACGUCCACACAAUGCCGAGGUUCAUGGACCCAUUUGCACAGUCAGCAGCACAAUCUUUUAACUUGUUGUUGAUACUGAUGCCAUCUAAAAACAUGAAUGAUUCAGGAAAAAGCAUAUCAACAGUGCACAUUAUGUUGAUGGAAAACUGAUUGAUAUAUAUGUCAACAUUUAUAAUUUUUCUUGUUUCAAACUGUUUUUACAAAUUGUAUCUGGGAGAAAACUAAUGAAAUAUCAGAAAUCUCUAUAGAUUAUAUUGUGCUAGAAUUUGUAAAUUCCUCCAGGAAUAUGAGUAGCAGUUCUGUGACAAGUUACAUUUUAAUCCAUCAUAUUGGACUUACCAACUUGUGACACUGACGUUACACUCAUGCACUUGGAAGUUCCAUUGAGACAUGUUUUUUCCUUUUGAUCCGCACAAGAACCCGUCAGACCCAUACACUCAUAACAGCUGAGAGAGUGUCCUUUA